CCCAAUAAUGAUACAAACAUAUACAAAUAACAUGAAAAACGUUGAAUCUGUCGACUAACAUCUGCUGGAAAGCCAAGUUAAACUAUGCGCGUACACACACAUGUCCACCACAGAUAAGCGUGAUCCCACCGGCACUGAUAAAACACCGGUGUACCGACAAAACAUGCUACCUAUCAGAUUGUGCUACCAAUAAUAUAUUUGCAUUGUUUUAAGGGUAAGUUUAGGGUAAGGGUAGGUGUGGACGGGUAGGUUUAGGGUAGGGGUAGGUAUUAAAAAAAGCCUCAAACCACAUGAAUAAGAUGCUGGUAACACAAUCUGAUAGGUAGCAUUUUUCGCUAUCGAUUUGUGCUACCGUAUUUGUAUUUUUUUUUUAAGACGAACAGCGGUGAAAAUGAAUUCUGCCGUUUUGUGGAAGUUGGUGGAUGUUUUGGUCGUGCUUGGUGUUUACUGUGAUGGUACAGAUGAAGUGUCAGUGAUGGAGGGAGAUUCAGUCACUCUACACACUGGUGUUAAAGCAGACCAGCAUGAAAAGAUUAAAUGGUUCUUUAAUGACACUCGAAUCGCUGAAAUCAAUGGCAUUAUGAGAUAUAUCUGUACGGAUGAUCAGUGUAAUGAGAGAUUCAGAGACAGAUUGAAGCUGGAUCAUCAGACUGGAUCUCUGACCAUCACAAACACCAGAACCACAGACUCUGGACUUUAUCAUCUAGAGAUCAUCAACAUUGGUCAUGAGAGUGAAAAGACCUUCAGUGUUACUGUUCAUGGUGUUUCUGCUGCUGCUGCACUAAAUGCAACGAAGAGAAAGUCAGUGAAGGAGGGAGAAUCUGUCACUUUAGAGCUUCCUGAAGAAAGAAAACCAAAUGAUCUGAUGACAUGGUAUUUUAAUGACACUCUCAUCGCUGAAAUCAGUGGAGAUCAGAGUAAGAUUUGUUCAGAUGUUCAGUGUGAUGAGAGAUUCAGAGACAGAGUGAAGCUGGAUCAUCAGACUGGAUCUCUGACCAUCAUGAACACCAGAACCACAGACUCUGGACUUUAUCAACUACAGAUCAACGGCAGCAUUAGGAUAAUAUUAGCUGCAUUAACUGUCAAUGUUGUCGCUGAUUCAGGCCUGUCUCCAGCUGCUGUAGCAGGAAUUGUUGUUGUGAUGCUCAUUGCUGCUGCUGCUGUGAUUUACUAUUGCAGACACAGAGCAAGAAGGAAAGGAAUCGACAUCCAGUGCAGUCAUGUUCAGGUGAAUAGAUACUCACCCCCUAAUCAGAAUGCAACUCAAUUUUAACUGCGUAUGCUGUAAGUGGGAAUCCACAGUCACAUUAAUAAUUAGACAUUAAUAACAAUGGAUCUGUGCAGCAUUAAAGUGCCAUUGCCGGUGAGACUGGGAUUUGCAUCCAAAACCAGUGGACAGCACACCGUUUCCUGUUAUCCGCUGCCUGCAGUUAAACAUUUACACAUUACAGUUUGUAUAUACAUAUUUGACUCCAGCUUGUAAGCUUAUGGUUUUCUUGGUUCUUGGUUUAUUUAAUUGCACUUUAUCUGUUUGUGUCUUUAGAUUUCUGUUACAAUAUGUAUCUUGAAAGGCGGUUUUCUUAAAAUUAGCCUUUUUUCCACUUCUGCAGCACUUUUACCAAACUUUACAGUUUCACUUCUAUCUUUGUUCUCAAUUAAUUUUUUUUAAUUAAUUUUUUUUUAUUUAUAACAUUUUAUUGCAAAAAAAAUGCCCCCUCUGUUGUCUGUUGACAGUUUUUAUUACUUACAGUGUGAUUAAAAACAGAACUAAAUCCCCCUAAAAUCUCUAUGACUGUACUGUCAACAAAAUAAAUAAUUAUUCCGAUCUCUGUGCAUACUCAGUGGGAUUAAGUUUAAUUUGCAUGUGUAUUAUUUCAGAAAACCUGUAAUUCAAAACUGUACUGUAGUAGUCUUACUGUACUAUUAUUUAAUCUUCUGAGGAAGUAUGGUGAUGUGGUCAUUAACAUUAUUACCGUGUUCACCUGUAGCCUUAAGUAAAUAAAUAUAUAUAUAUAUUGUGGCGGGGGUGAAGAAUCACACACGACAAGA
Molecule: RNA transcript, 2049 nt
Organism: Onychostoma macrolepis
Lineage: Eukaryota; Metazoa; Chordata; Actinopteri; Cypriniformes; Cyprinidae
Exons: 7
Source: RefSeq, a predicted model, not a curated record